RNAcentral lists this ribosomal RNA (497 nucleotides) under uncultured bacterium. Its description in RNAcentral is "partial 16S ribosomal RNA". It matches the Rfam family "Bacterial small subunit ribosomal RNA", at positions 28 to 507 of the family's 1533-position model. The record is from RNAcentral.
GAUGAACGCUGGCGGCGUGCCUAAUACAUGCAAGUCGAGCGAACGGACGAGAAGCUUGCUUCUCUGAUGUUAGCGGCGGACGGGUGAGUAACACGUGGAUAACCUACCUAUAAGACUGGGAUAACUUCGGGAAACCGGAGCUAAUACCGGAUAAUAUUUUGAACCGCAUGGUUCAAAAGUGAAAGACGGUCUUGCUGUCACUUAUAGAUGGAUCCGCGCUGCAUUAGCUAGUUGGUAAGGUAACGGCUUACCAAGGCAACGAUGCAUAGCCGACCUGAGAGGGUGAUCGGCCACACUGGAACUGAGACACGGUCCAGACUCCUACGGGAGGCAGCAGUAGGGAAUCUUCCGCAAAGGGCGAAAGCCUGACGGAGCAACGCCGCGUGAGUGUUGAAGGUCUUCGGAUCGUAAAACUCUGUUAUUAGGGAAGAACAUAUGUGUAAGUAACUGUGCACAUCUUGACGGUACCUAAUCAGAAAGCCACGGCUAACUACGUG